RNAcentral lists this ribosomal RNA (421 nucleotides) under uncultured bacterium. RNAcentral's name for it is "bacterial SSU rRNA". It matches the Rfam family "Bacterial small subunit ribosomal RNA", at positions 958 to 1392 of the family's 1533-position model. The record is from RNAcentral.
AACGCGAAGAACCUUACCCAGGCUUGACAUCCUUGGAAGCUCUACGAAAGUAGAGUGUGCUUUAUUGAACCAAGUGACAGGUGUUGCAUGGCCGUCGUCAGCUCGUGUCGUGAGAUGUUUGGUUAAGUCCAUCAACGAGCGCAACCCUUGUGAUUAGUUGAAUUUUUCUAAUCAGACUGCCCUGGCAACAGGGAGGAAGGAGGGGAUGAUGUCAGGUCAGUAUUACCCUUACGCCUGGGGCUACAAACACGCUACAAUGGCCGGUACAAAGGGCAGCCAAGUCGCGAGACGGAGCAAAUCCCAUCAAAGCCGGUCUCAGUUCGGAUAGCAGGCUGAAACUCGCCUGCUUGAAGUCGGAAUCGCUAGUAACGGUAGGUCAGCUAUACUACCGUGAAUACGUUCCCGGGUCUUGUACACACCG